RNAcentral lists this ribosomal RNA (448 nucleotides) under uncultured bacterium. RNAcentral's name for it is "bacterial SSU rRNA". It matches the Rfam family "Bacterial small subunit ribosomal RNA", at positions 29 to 524 of the family's 1533-position model. The record is from RNAcentral.
AGCGAACGCUGGCGGCAGGCCUAACACAUGCAAGUCGAACGGCUCUUCGGAGCAGUGGCGGACGGGUGAGUAACGCGUGGGAACGUGCCCUUUGGUUCGGAACAACACAGGGAAACUUGUGCUAAUACCGGAUGAGCCCUUCGGGGGAAAGAUUUAUCGCCAUUGGAGCGGCCCGCGUUGGAUUAGGUAGUUGGUGGGGUAAAGGCCCACCAAGCCGACGAUCCAUAGCUGGUCUGAGAGGAUGAUCAGCCACACUGGGACUGAGACACGGCCCAGACUCCUACGGGAGGCAGCAGUGGGGAAUCUUGCGCAAUGGGCGAAAGCCUGACGCAGCCAUGCCGCGUGAAUGAUGAAGGUCUUAGGAUUGUAAAAUUCUUUCGUGGGGGAAGAUAAUGACGGUACCCCAAGAAGAAGCCCCGGCUAACUCCGUGCCAGCAGCCGCGGUAAU